This 402-nucleotide ribosomal RNA is filed under the name Kryptoperidinium foliaceum. Its description in RNAcentral is "partial Bacterial small subunit ribosomal RNA". It matches the Rfam family "Bacterial small subunit ribosomal RNA", at positions 129 to 529 of the family's 1533-position model. The record is from RNAcentral. Lineage: Eukaryota; Dinophyceae; Peridiniales; Kryptoperidiniaceae.
CCCGGUAGUUGGGGAUAGCCCGGAGAAAUCCGGAUUAAUACUCCAUAAUAUCUCAACUUCGCAUGUUGAUGAGAUUAAAACUCCGGUGGACAGGGAUGAGCAUGCGUCCUAUUAGCUUGUUGGUAGUGUAAUAGACUACCAAGGCAACGAUAGGUAGGGGGCCUGAGAGGGUUAUCCCCCACACUGGUACUGAGACACGGACCAGACUCCUACGGGAGGCAGCAGUGAGGAAUAUUGGUCAAUGGACGAAAGUCUGAACCAGCCAUGCCGCGUGCAGGAUGAAUGCCCUAUGGGUUGUAAACUGCUUUUAUACGAGAAUAAACCCCCGGACGUGUCCGGGGCUGAAGGUAUCGUAUGAAUAAGGAUCGGCUAACUCCGUGCCAGCAGCCGCGGUAAUGCGGA